RNAcentral lists this unclassified non-coding RNA (322 nucleotides) under Hevea brasiliensis (rubber tree). The record is from RNAcentral. Lineage: Eukaryota; Viridiplantae; Streptophyta; Magnoliopsida; Malpighiales; Euphorbiaceae.
GCUACACAAUAAGUAGGAAAACAACAUCCAAAGCAAGUAGCAAUAGUAGCCUUCGUCUGGGAAAACUACAAGCAAACUCAUGAAACAACUCGCCGUUAAGGUGUCAAGUAUCGAACACUCAAUGAAGCAAGAGAUGAUGUUUGUCAGCCACAGUACAACCUACAGAUUAGAGCACAUUUGGCUCAUAAUGCCAAUAAGUUAAUAUGUACAUAAAAAAUUCAAAAAAAUUAGAAUCCUAUUUCUUCACGUGGCAUUAGAAGAAAACAGAUUGAACUACCCAGAAACUUUGUUGGAGAAUGCUCCCAUGCCAUACAGCUACAAG